GACCGGCCCCACGCUGCGCUCGCCGCCCUUUAUGUGGCGGAGGAAGGGCGGGGAGCGCAGCGGUGCCUAAUUGGAGCGGGGCCCUGCCCUGAGCCUCCUGGGAGACCCCCCCGGGGUCGGCGGGAGGGUUACGGGGCAGGACUUCUGCCACCAGUGAGGGAGCAGACGUAUGAAGAAAAAGGAUUGCAAAAGCCAUGAGACAAUCUUCAGCACUUUUACUGACUGCAGAGUCAUCAGCCAAAACUGCACAACUGAGAGGAACUUUGAUCACAUUAAAACUUUGCAGAAUGCAGGUAAAAUAUGUUCCUGUCCUCAUUAGUGCAGAGGGAGAGACCUCACUCCAUGUGCAUUGGGAGCACCUAACAGUAGAGAUUUUGAAUGAGAGUUUACAGAUAAAUACUGUCUAGCUUUGCUGUAAAAGUGGUGUGCUCACUCCUACAUUUGAACUGUCCUGGAAUUUUCAAACUGGAAAUAAAAUUUCAAGUACA
Molecule: long non-coding RNA, 488 nt
Organism: Corapipo altera (White-ruffed manakin)
Lineage: Eukaryota; Metazoa; Chordata; Aves; Passeriformes; Pipridae
Exons: 3
Source: RefSeq, a predicted model, not a curated record